This 279-nucleotide ribosomal RNA is filed under the name Deltaproteobacteria bacterium. RNAcentral describes it as "partial 23S ribosomal RNA". It matches the Rfam family "Bacterial large subunit ribosomal RNA", at positions 2659 to 2925 of the family's 2925-position model. The record is from RNAcentral. Lineage: Bacteria; Pseudomonadati; Myxococcota; Myxococcia.
UAUUUGAGAGGAGCUGUCCCUAGUACGAGAGGACCGGGAUGGACGAACCUCUAGUGUGCCAGUUGUUCCGCCAGGAGCAUAGCUGGGUAGCUACGUUCGGAAGGGAUAACCGCUGAAAGCAUCUAAGCGGGAAGCCCCCCUCAAGAUUAGAUAUCCCUCUUCGGUGGAAACACCGGAGCUAAAGACCCCUUGUAGACCACAAGGUUGAUAGGCCAGGUGUGUAAGUCCAGCAAUGGACUGAGCUUACUGGUACUAAUGGGUCGUGAGGCUUGAUCAUAA